Molecule: ribosomal RNA, 955 nt
Filed under: bacterium enrichment culture clone 2_53
Lineage: Bacteria
Description: bacterial SSU rRNA
Rfam family: Bacterial small subunit ribosomal RNA
Source: RNAcentral
CCUUGUUUGAUCCUGGCUCAGGACGAACGCUGGCGGCGUGCUUAACACAUGCAAGUCACGGGGGUUUGGUAGCAAUACCAAGCAACCGGCGAACGGGUGCGUAACACGUGAGCAAGCUUCCGAUUUGUGGGGGAUAGCCGGCCCAACGGCCGGGUAAUACCGCAUACGUUCACUAGGCGGCAUCGUCUGGUGAGGAAACCUCCGGGGCAAAUCGAGGCGCUCGCGGCCUAUCAGCUAGUUGGCGGGGUAACGGCCCACCAAGGCGACGACGGGUAGCUGGUCUGAGAGGAUGGCCAGCCACAUUGGGACUGCGACACGGCCCAGACUCCUACGGGAGGCAGCAGUGGGGAAUAUUGCGCAAUGGACGAAAGUCUGACGCAGCGACGCCGCGUGUGGGAUGAAGCUCUUCGGGGUGUAAACCACUGUUGCCCGGGACGAAACUCCUUUUUCGAAAGGACUGACGGUACCGGGUGAGGAAGCACCGGCUAACUUUGUGCCAGCAGCCGCGGUAAUACAGAGGGUGCGAGCGUUGUCCGGAAUCACUGGGCGUAAAGGGCGCGUAGGUGGCUUGGUAAGCGUGUGGUGAAAGUCCGGGGCUCAACCCCGGAUCUGCCGUGCGAACUGCUGAGCUUGAGCAAUGUAGAGGCAGGUGGAAUUUCGGGUGUAGCGGUGGAAUGCGUAGAUAUCCGAAAGAACACCAGUGGCGAAGGCGGCCUGCUGGGCAUUUGCUGACACUGAGGCGCGACAGCGUGGGAGCAAACAGGAUUAGAUACCCUGGUAGUCCACGCCGUAAACGAUGGGUACUAGGUGUCUGGGGGAGCGACCCCCUGGGUGCCGUCGCUAACGCAUGAAGUACCCCGCCUGGGGAGUACGGCCGCAAGGCUGAACUCAAAGGAAUUGACGGGGCCCGCACAAGCGGUGGAGCAUGUGGUUUAAUUCGACGCACGCGAAGAAC